RNAcentral lists this ribosomal RNA (301 nucleotides) under uncultured bacterium. RNAcentral's name for it is "partial 16S ribosomal RNA". It matches the Rfam family "Bacterial small subunit ribosomal RNA", at positions 509 to 809 of the family's 1533-position model. The record is from RNAcentral.
CAGUCGCCGCGGGAAUACGUAGGUGGCAAGCGUUGUCCGGAAUUAUUGGGCGUAAAGGGCUCGCAGGUGGUUUCUUAAGUCUGAUGUGAAAGCCCCCGGCUCAACCGGGGAGGGUCAUUGGAAACUGGGAAACUUGAGUGCAGAAGAGGAGAGUGGAAUUCCACGUGUAGCGGUGAAAUGCGUAGAGAUGUGGAGGAACACCAGUGGCGAAGGCGACUCUCUGGUCUGUAACUGACGCUGAGGAGCGAAAGCGUGGGGAGCGAACAGGAUUAGAUACCCGAGUAGUCCCUGUCUCUUAUAA